GACGAACGCUGGCGGCGUGCUUAACACAUGCAAGUCGAACGGAAAGGCCCUGCUUUUGUGGGGUGCUCGAGUGGCGAACGGGUGAGUAACACGUGAGUAACCUGCCCUUGACUUUGGGAUAACUUCAGGAAACUGGGGCUAAUACAGGAUAGGAGCUCCUGCUGCAUGGUGGGGGUUGGAAAGUUUCGGCGGUUGGGGAUGGACUCGCGGCUUAUCAGCUUGUUGGUGGGGUAGGGGCUUACCAAGGCUUUGACGGGUAGCCGGCCUGAGAGGGUGACCGGCCACAUUGGGACUAAGAUACGGCCCAGACUCGUACGGGAGGCAGCAGGGGGGAGUAUUGCACAAUGGGCGCGAGCCUGAGGCAGCAGCGCCGCGUGCGGGAUGACGGCCUUCGGGUUGUAAACCGCUUUCGCCUGUGACGAAGCGUGAGUGACGGUAAUGGGUAAAGAAGCACCGGCUAACUACGUG
This 468-nucleotide ribosomal RNA is filed under the name uncultured bacterium. Its description in RNAcentral is "partial 16S ribosomal RNA". It matches the Rfam family "Bacterial small subunit ribosomal RNA", at positions 28 to 507 of the family's 1533-position model. The record is from RNAcentral.